Pelodiscus sinensis (Chinese soft-shelled turtle) is the source of this 2486-nucleotide non-coding RNA. The record is from RefSeq and is a predicted model, not a curated record. NCBI's taxonomy places the organism in Eukaryota, Metazoa, Chordata, Testudines, Trionychidae.
UUGUUCUGACAUUUAAAAAGUCAUCUUGGGUUUAAAGAGGUUGGAGACCACGGACCUAGAUGAAUAGCCUUAAAUAUUGGUUGGGCACAGUCUUAAGGAGCAGCUGCAGUACAGCAAGCUGCAGAACAGAAAAAAACGAAUCAGGUAUUUGAUGGAAACAGCGAUAUCAAACAAUGGCAGAUUGGGAGCUGGGUAAUGGUUCAAGUCAAACCCGUACCUAAGAAAAAAAAUUCCCAAAGAGGGAAUGGCAUGGACCCUGGCCAAUUCUAGACAAACUGGGACCCUCUUUGUAAUUGAUUGAAAUAGAGGAUCAGCCUUGAUGGAAACAUGCUGUCAUGAUUAUGAGGGUUAGCCAGCAGCCUGGGGAUUAAGGGGUUAACUACACCUAGCCAGGUGGAGUGACCAAUAAGAAUGUAGGUGGGAUUUUUCAAACUGGGACAAAGGAAUUUGGGUUUUUCCUUUGUCCUUUUGUCUCUCUGAGAGUUCUCUGCAGCUACAGAGAGGGACAAGCAUGUCUCUCUCUCUCUCCAAGACACCAUUCUUCAUUUUCUAGUAACGAUACAAGAUAAGCAGUCAAGGGUCGGAUACCAGCAUGGAUAUGGAUGCUGUUGAAUGCAGUGUGGAUGAUCCACCACACAGAGGGACUCUCUGAUACCACCCAGAUUAACCAGACCUAUGAAGCGGUCUGGAAUUUAUGGACUGAGACCCUACGGACUGCCACUAUGAUACAGGCAGCAAACCAAACCCAUCCAGUUGGGACUGUUUUAAAGUUGGUGUGUGAAGCAGAAGGAAGGCAACAAGCCAACAAUAUCCACAGAGCCACACCACCUGAUCUUAAGAUGGCCUGGGGGUGUAUAGUUGCAAAUAUGAGCCAAGUUCAUGAAAUUCCUGUCCAAAAAAUUGAUGAGAGCAGAUGACGAAUUGUAAAAACUAACUUAUGUUUGCUGUUGGAUGGUUGACAAUGUUCGUAAUUGUGAUUGGUCUAUUGUUUUUACUGUGAUUUUUAGAGACAGGUUCCAGUAAUACCUCCAAACACCUCCUGAACAGGCAUACAUACCAAAUAAGAAAUAUAGAAGGGAAACUCCAAAGAUGGAGCAAGUCUAAGUGGCACCAAAUCGAAUAGUGGAAAUACACAUAGCAUUGUGGGUAGGGGAGACCCUCAACUUACUCUGUGAUGUUCAAGCAUGUGCACAUGUAGUUCCUAGGGUGGCAUUGGAUUGGUAUUGCGCUGCGGACCCUAUAAUUAGCCACCUAGAGGGAAUCACAAAAACAUAGGGGGACUGGAAAUACCAAGUACAACUUAUUAAUUUAUAGAAACAACAAACUGACAUGGCAAUGUGUGAGCUCAUGAUUUCUGCAAAAGGCUUGAGUGGGGUUGUGGCAGCAGGGUUCUGCAUUUCUCCAUUCCACUCCCCUGUGAGAUGGUAGAAGAGAGUCUUGUGUCAUAUCCCUCUGAUAGGGGGCAGAAGACAGAAAGCCUGUAGUUCCUCAUCCUUCAGCUGAUCAAGGUCUUCCUGUUCCUUAGCUUAUUGGUCCCUGUUUUGGCCCAUAAGAAAGAGGGAAACUUAUGCCUCUUUGCCACCAAGUGUACAGCUCUGCUUGUAGGUCCAGCAUAACUUGAAUUCAUUAGAUGGGGUGCUGUUCCAGCACUGAUUUAAAAAAAAAUUGUGUAAGGGUGAAAUUAAUUAGGGUACGAGUUUUAUCUAGUGGUAGUAUCUUUAAAUCCAAGCAGCGGUGAGCACCUAGCCAACAAGAGACUAGGGGGAUUUGGGUAAGGAAGGAGUAGAAGUUCAGGGCAGUGGGUGUAUUUCACCCACAUUAAGUGGGUUAACCCUAUGCUUAGUAGGUGCAGGGUUUUUAAGACCUGCUAAUAGAUUGAGACAGAUUAUGUACACCAUAGUAACAGUUAAGCAGAAACUGCCAAGUUAAAAAAAAACAAAUGUUCAGUUCUUGACUUGAUACUGUUAUUUGAAUACCCCAGCCCCUGACAUUUACCUUUUUUCUUAUUCCACUACAGAGCUCCCUAUGGUAAAAGUAAUAGCUGGCAAUUCAAGAUUAAGAGAAAAAACAUGUUUAUUAACCAGGUUUUUGCACUGGAUUAUGCACCAAUUGGCCCAAUCUGCUAGAUAACAUCUAGACAUGGUUUCUUUCAUGUUUCACGAGUUGAAAAUAACUGUACAAGGUUAAAGUACACAAGAUAACAGACACAAAAUAGCCAUUUAUGAGUUUACCUCAGCUGCUGCUUUGUUUGAAAAAGUAGAAUUGUAACUAAAAAAUAUUGUUCUCCUAUAGUUCUAUCACGUUUAAUGGAAGCGGGUACCUGAUUACAACACUAACACCAGCAUCACUGAUCUCAUAUUUACAGAAAAAUUGUACUUUUUCAAUACAUUAAAGUCAAUGCAACACCCAUGCAAGCUAGAAUACUAGCUUUUUGGUGAACAAGGACCCAACCUCAGAACAGAAAUCAUCCACAAAGUCCCAGACUU